This 297-nucleotide long non-coding RNA is filed under the name Mytilus galloprovincialis (Mediterranean mussel). The record is from RNAcentral. Lineage: Eukaryota; Metazoa; Mollusca; Bivalvia; Mytilida; Mytilidae.
CUGGCGAAACAAAACUAUCCAUAGCCGCUGCAUGUUUAUGCACAUGUCCUGAUUGAUUGAGGGGCCGGACGUUCAGCAGUUAUCGUUUGUUGAUGUUGUUCAUUGGUAUUUUCCCGUUUGGAUAUACAUGAUAUAUAAAUUAGAUCGUUGGUUUUCCUGUUCGAAUUGUGUACUCUAAUAAUUUUGGGAUCCUUUAUAGCCUGCUGUUUGGUCUGUAUCAAAGCCCUGUGUAAAAGACCGUACUUUGACCUGUGUUUGUUAUUAUCAGGUUGAGAACAACCCUUCCUCAGACAAGGG